RNAcentral lists this ribosomal RNA (484 nucleotides) under uncultured bacterium. Its description in RNAcentral is "partial 16S ribosomal RNA". It matches the Rfam family "Bacterial small subunit ribosomal RNA", at positions 28 to 507 of the family's 1533-position model. The record is from RNAcentral.
GAUGAACGCUAGCGGCAGGCCUAACACAUGCAAGUCGAGGGGCAGCACGGGUAGCAAUACCUGGUGGCGACCGGCGCACGGGUGAGUAACGCGUAUGCAACCUGCCCCCGUCUGGGGAAUAGCCCGUCGAAAGGCGGAUUAAGGCCCCAUGGUUCCCUUCACCGGCAUCGGAGGGGGGAGUAAAGGUUACGGACGGGGAUGGGCAUGCGUGCCAUUAGCUAGUUGGGGGGGUAACGGCCCACCAAGGCGACGAUGGCUAGGGGAGCUGAGAGGCUGAACCCCCACACUGGUACUGAGACACGGACCAGACUCCUACGGGAGGCAGCAGUGAGGAAUAUUGGUCAAUGGGCGGAAGCCUGAACCAGCCAUGCCGCGUGCAGGAAGACGGCCCUACGGGUUGUAAACUGCUUUUCCCCCGGGGCGAAUAACCCCCUCGCGAGGGGGAGUGCCGGUACCGGGGGAAUAAGGAUCGGCUAACUCCGUG